This 372-nucleotide ribosomal RNA is filed under the name uncultured bacterium. Its description in RNAcentral is "bacterial SSU rRNA". It matches the Rfam family "Bacterial small subunit ribosomal RNA", at positions 355 to 743 of the family's 1533-position model. The record is from RNAcentral.
UAGGGAAUAUUGCAAAAUGGGCGCAAGCCCGAUGCAGCAACGCCGCGUGGGCGAUGAAGGCCUUCGGGUCGUAAAGCCCUUUUUGAGGGGAUGAGGAAGGACAGUACCCUCAGAAUAAGCCUCGGCUAACUACGUGCCAGCAGCCGCGGUAAAACGUAGGAGGCGAGCGUUAUCCGGAUUUACUGGGCGUAAAGCGCGUGCAGGCGGAUUGGAGAGUUGGAUGUGAAAGCUCCCGGCUUAACUGGGAGAGGUCGUUCAAUACUUCCAGUCUUGAGUGCAGUAGAGGGAAGUGGAAUUCCGUGUGUAGUGGUGAGAUGCGUAGAUAUCCGGAGGAACACCAGUGGCGAUAGCGGCUUCCUGGACUGUAACUGA